CACGUAGGGUGCGAGCGUUGUCCGGAAUUAUUGGGCGUAAAGAGUUCGUAGGCGGUGUGUCGCGUCGGCCGUGAAAACCUGCAGCUUAACUGUGGGCGUGCGGUCGAUACGGGCAUCACUGGAGUUCGGCAGGGGAGACUGGAAUUCCUGGUGUAGCGGUGAAAUGCGCAGAUAUCAGGAGGAACACCGGUGGCGAAGGCGGGUCUCUGGGCCGAUACUGACGCUGAGGAGCGAAAGCGUGGGGAGCAAACAGG
RNAcentral lists this ribosomal RNA (254 nucleotides) under uncultured bacterium. RNAcentral's name for it is "partial 16S ribosomal RNA". It matches the Rfam family "Bacterial small subunit ribosomal RNA", at positions 524 to 776 of the family's 1533-position model. The record is from RNAcentral.